GACGAACGCUGGCGGCGUGCUUAACACAUGCAAGUCGAACGGAAAGGCCCUGCUUUUGUGGGGUGCUCGAGUGGCGAACGGGGGAGUAACACGUGAGUAACCGGCCCUUGACUUUGGGAUAACUUCAGGAAACGGGGGCUAAGACCGGAUAGGAGCUCCUGCUGCAUGGUGGGGGGUGGAAAGUUGCGGCUGUUGGGGCUGGAUUCGCGGCUUAUCAGCUUGUUGGUGGGGGAGUGGCUUACCAAGGCUUUGGAGGGUAGCCCGCCGGAGAGGGUGACCGGGCACCAUGGGCCUGCGAUACGGACCAGACUCCAACGGGAGGCAACAGUGGGGAGUCUUGCACAGUGGGACCACGCCUGAUGCGGCGGCGUUCCGUGCGGAAAGCCCGCUUUCGGGUUAUAAACCGCUUUAGCCUGUGACGAAGCGUGAGUGACGGUACUGGGUAAAGAAGCACCGGCUAACUACGUG
Molecule: ribosomal RNA, 468 nt
Filed under: uncultured bacterium
Lineage: Bacteria
Description: partial 16S ribosomal RNA
Rfam family: Bacterial small subunit ribosomal RNA
Source: RNAcentral